CCUCCCCCCAAUUCCACCAAAAUUUUCAGGAUCCCAGGAAGCACUACCAAUCCAUUGUCAACACAAGCACCUGAAAACAAAGAUCCGCUAAGACAUGAUUGUGCAAAGCAAACAGCUAAAUCGACUAACUUGUUGAUCACCAAGUGAAAUCAGGAAAAGGGUAACCUAAAAUGGUGAAAAGGAGGAGACUUAAUCAACUCUGAAUUGAAGUGAACUCACUGUGCAAAUUUCAGCUCGAAUCUGUGUGAGGAAAUUCUCUGAAGCGUUCGGAGCUCCGGAAGAGAGACCCACAGAGAGGCAAAAUGCGACAAACAGAGAAGGAUUUUGCAGUGAUUUGUGGUUAAAAUAUUCGCAAUUGAAAGCAAGUGAUAGAGAUCGCGUAGAGAAGGAGAGAGAAAGUGAGAGAGAGAGAGAGUGAAGAAGAGGUCUCCUCCGUCUCAAUCAGUGUUCACAACUGAUGAUUACUUCAUUCUUCU
This 476-nucleotide long non-coding RNA is filed under the name Phaseolus vulgaris (common bean). RNAcentral describes it as "long non-coding RNA (PVUL_LNC002035)". Lineage: Eukaryota; Viridiplantae; Streptophyta; Magnoliopsida; Fabales; Fabaceae. The record is from RNAcentral.